AAGUCGUAACAAGGUUUCCGUAGGUGAACCUGCGGAAGGAUCAUUAUAGAGGUUGGUUGGGUAACACCUUCCAAACCUCCCACCCUACGUUUACAUUACCUUUGUUGCUUUGGUAGGCCCGUCUUUGGACCGCCGGCUUCGGCUGGCCGGUGCCUACCAGAGGAUCCAAAACUCUGUUUAAUUGUAUUGUCUGAGUACUAUAUAAUAGUUAAAA
This 214-nucleotide unclassified non-coding RNA is filed under the name plant metagenome. Its description in RNAcentral is "partial contains small subunit ribosomal RNA and internal transcribed spacer 1". The stretch from base 1 to 46 matches the Rfam family "Eukaryotic small subunit ribosomal RNA", at positions 1786 to 1831 of the family's 1831-position model. The record is from RNAcentral.